GCACGGAAGUUAGCCGGGGCUUAUUCUCCCGGGUACAGUCAUUAUCUUCCCGGGUAAAAGAGCUUUACAACCCUAAGGCCUUCAUCACUCACGCGGCAUUGCUGGAUCAGGCUUUCGCCCAUUGUCCAAUAUUCCCCA
Molecule: ribosomal RNA, 138 nt
Filed under: uncultured bacterium
Lineage: Bacteria
Description: partial 16S ribosomal RNA
Source: RNAcentral